ACUCUUUCUUCUUCCCUGAGCUUCAGCUUUUUCUUCUUCCUCUCCCCCAAAACCCUAGCACCUGAAACCCCCAACCACCUUCUUCCAUGGCUGCGCCGCCACCACGUCCUCCCUCUCCAUGAAAUCGCGCGACCACCAGUCGUCACCUUAACCCCAAAUCGCGCGCUUUUUCCAGAUCUCUUGCUCACGCUUCUACUCGCAUAGCUCUUGCGCGCUUUUUCCAGAUCUCCACAAACUGUUUUUGUUUCGGAUGUAUCAAUGGCGUCAUUUGAAAUCUGAAGUGCUAAAGUGACCAGAGGAGGAACGGAGGUUUCAGUUCGUCACCGGUUAGAUCGGCGAUGGCAGAGGUUUCUGGAGACGGCGGAGGAGUGCCAAUAGCCUCGAGAAUGAAGUUCGAGAGAGUUUGUAUGAAGAUGAGGAGUUUGAUCAGCAUCAAAGGAAACUUGCUGCACUUCUCUAAUCAAAGGAAAAGUUUGAGCAAAGAAAGAAUGAGAUAUCUUCUCAAAGUUCAAGUGUUUUGGGAGAUGAAAAUGAUAGUCUAGCCUCCAUAGGUUAUUAAUGGAAAGAGAAAGCAGAGUCUGGAAGUAUUAAUUUAUCAUUUGUCAGGUCUCCUCUCUAUUCCGCUCAACAUUUCAACUUUAGUGAUAAACCAUUGUUGUUCAGUGCUUCCAGAAGUUGCCUUCAAAUUGUAGCAAAUACACUUACUCAUGUGAUGGUCACACGUUUAACUUCCUCGUAGACAAUGGACUUGCAAAUAAACUGUUGGGCAUGCUAUCAGAAUUGGAUUUAUGGGUUGAUUCAUUUGAAAAGAAGAAGAUUCAUGUAGGAAGAUUUAAGGAGUCAGAUUCAUGUAGAUAUUUAAUUUUUAUGACAUUUGAUGUACCCCAUUUUGGAUUUAUGGGUUGAUUCAUUUAACAUGAUGUACCCAUUGAUAUGUACCCCAUAUUUCAACACUUCUUUGUUUUUGUUUCAAUUUAAAAAGUUCUCUAUUUAAUA
Long non-coding RNA from Lotus japonicus, 996 nucleotides. RefSeq lists it as uncharacterized. The record is from RefSeq and is a predicted model, not a curated record. Lineage: Eukaryota; Viridiplantae; Streptophyta; Magnoliopsida; Fabales; Fabaceae. The transcript has 6 exons.